AGUGGAUGGGGAGCAACCUAGUUGUGCGUGUGUAAAGGUAGUGCCAAGAAAAGCGAUGAUCAUGUUGAAAAUCAAUUCCCGGUACCCGAAACCGACACAGGUGGGCAAGUAGAGAAUACUAAGGGGCGCGAGGUAACUCUCUCCAAGGAACUCGGCAAAAUGACCCCGUAACUUAGGGAGAAGGGGUGCCACCGAGAGGUGGUCGCAGUGAAGAGGCCCAGGCGACUGUUUAGCAAAAACAUAGGUCUCUGCAAACUCGAAAGAGGAGGUAUAGGGGCUGACGCCUGCCCAGUGCCGGAAGGUUAAAGAAGUUGGUCAGUUUUAGGAUGAAGCUAGCGACUGAAGCCCCGGUGAACGGCGGCCGUAACUAUAACGGUCCUAAGGUAGCGAAAUUCCUUGUCGGGUAAGUUCCGACCCGCACGAAAGGCGUAACGAUCUGGGCGCUGUCUCGGAGAGAGGCUCGGCGAAAUAGGAUUGUCUGUGAAGAUACGGACUACCUGCAUUUGGACAGAAAGACCCUAUGAAGCUUUACUAUAGCUUGGAAUUGUGUUCGGGCUUCCUGUGCGCAGGAUAGGUGGGAGGCGUAGAAGGUAUUCUUGUGGGGAUACUGGAGCCAACGGUGAGAUACCACUCUCAGGAGGCUAGAAUUCUAACUUAAUUAAGGACAGUUUCAGGUGGGUAGUUUGACUGGGGCGGUCGCCUCCAAAAAGGUAACGGAGGCGUACAAAGGUUCCCUCAGACUGGUUGGAAAUCAGUCGAAGAGUGCAAAGGCAGAAGGGAGCUUGACUGCGAGAAGUACAGUUCGAGCAGGGUGGAAACACGGUCUUAGUGAUCCGACGGUGCUGUGUGGAAGGGCCGUCGCUCAACGGAUAAAAGUUACUCUAGGAUAACAGGCUGAUCUCCCCCAAGAGUUCACAUCGACGGGGAGGUUUGGCACCUCGAUGUCGGCUCAUCGCAACCUGGGGCGGAAGUACGUCCCAAGGGUUGGGCUGUUCGCCCAUUAAAGCGGUACGUGAGCUGGGUUUAGAACGUCGUGAGACAGUUCGGUCCAUAUCCGAUGUAGGCGUGAGAAUAUUGAGAGGAGCCUUCCUUAGUACGAGAGGACCGGGAAGGACGCACCGCUGGUGUACCUGUUAUGAUGCCAAUUGUAAACGCAGGGUAGCCAAGUGCGGAGAGGAUAACCGCUGAAAGCAUCUAAGUGGGAAGCCCACCUCAAGAUGAGUAUUCUGGUGUAAGGUCACGGGAAGACGACCCGUAAAUAGGCACGAGGUGGAAGUGCAGAGAUGUAUGAAGCCGAAGUGUACUAAUAGACCGUCGGCUUGACC
This 1325-nucleotide ribosomal RNA is filed under the name metagenome. Its description in RNAcentral is "bacterial LSU rRNA". It matches the Rfam family "Bacterial large subunit ribosomal RNA", at positions 1561 to 2925 of the family's 2925-position model. The record is from RNAcentral.